RNAcentral lists this ribosomal RNA (497 nucleotides) under uncultured bacterium. Its description in RNAcentral is "partial 16S ribosomal RNA". It matches the Rfam family "Bacterial small subunit ribosomal RNA", at positions 28 to 507 of the family's 1533-position model. The record is from RNAcentral.
GACGAACGCUGGCGGCGUGCUUAACACAUGCAAGUCGAACGAUCAGGCGCGUAGCUUGCUGCUCGGAGUGUAUCAGUGGCCAACUGAUUAGUAACACGUUAACCUACCUACAUGAUCGGCUUAACUACCGCAAGCAAGUGCUACUAAUGGAUAGUAUUUUGAAUCUGUUGGUUGAAUAGUUUAGGAAGGUUUUGCUGUUUCUGAUUGUUGGGUCCGCGAUGGAUUAGCUAGUUGGUAGGGUAACGGCUUACCGAGGCCACGAUGCGUAGCCGACCUGAGAGGGUGGUCGGCCGCACUGAGAGUGAGACACGGUCCAGACACCUACGGGAGGCAGCAGUAGGGACUCUUCCGCGAAGGGCGAAAGCUUGACGGAGCAACGCCGCGUGAGUGAUGAAGGGCUUCGGAUCGUAAAACUCUGUUAUUAGGGAAGAACAAAUGUGUAAGUAACUAUGCACGUCUUGACGGUACCUAAUCAGAAAGCCACGGCUAACUACGUG